This 472-nucleotide ribosomal RNA is filed under the name uncultured bacterium. RNAcentral describes it as "partial 16S ribosomal RNA". It matches the Rfam family "Bacterial small subunit ribosomal RNA", at positions 28 to 507 of the family's 1533-position model. The record is from RNAcentral.
GACGAACGCUGGCGGCGUGCUUAACACAUGCAAGUCGAACGCUGAAGCUUGGUGCUUGCACUGGGUGGAUGAGUGGCGAACGGGUGAGUAAUACGUGAGUAACCGGCCCUUGACUCUGGGAUAAGCCUGGGAAACUGGGUCUAAUACUGGAUACGACAUGUCACCGCAUGGUGGUGUGUGGAAAGGGUUUUACUGGUUUUGGAUGGGCUCACGGCCUAUCAGCUUGUUGGUGGGGUAAUGGCUCACCAAGGCGACGACGGGUAGCCGGCCUGAGAGGGUGACCGGCCACACUGGGACUGAGACACGGCCCAGACUCCUACGGGAGGCAGCAGUGGGGAAUAUUGCACAAUGGGCGGAAGCCUGAUGCAGCGACGCCGCGUGAGGGAUGACGGCCUUCGGGUUGUAAACCUCUUUCAGCACGGAAGAAGCGAAAGUGACGGUACGUGCAGAAGAAGCGCCGGCUAACUACGUG